GCCCCCAUCUCUUCCCCACGCCCACCUUACCCAAUCAUCUCACGAAAGGCAUGCCGCCGACAGCGCUGGAAUCGAUCCCCAUCUUCUCCGAUGCCGACCUCGGCAAGCAUGCCGGCGACGCAUCUCCUGCCCCCUCCUAUGCGCAUUAGUCCCAGCGCCCAACAUCUCCACACCCCCUCCUCCUCGCCAUCUCCUCCACCCCCUUCCCCGUCUCCUGCCGCUGACCGCCACCGGCUAUCACUGAAGCGGCGGCGCUUCCGCAUACUCCUCCCCCUCCUUCCCCACUGUCACUGAAGCGCCCCAUGUGGAGGUGCUAUGCUUGGCUACUGCCUCUCCUUCCCAAUCCUCAUCCCUCCCACCCGUGCCGCCUCCAAAAUUCAAUUUUUUUUGUUACCCAGAGUUCAAUUCGUGCGCCCAGGUCGAACUCUCUAGAAGCCAGUCUUGUAGAGUUGCAGUUCAAUAUAAAUCAAACGGGUAGGCAGAUGGGACUCAAGCUGCUUGCACUUCACCUCAAGAGCCACAUGCUCGUCACGCCAAUCUGGAGCUGUUCCAAGGAAAGGAGCAGUUCUAUCAAGGAUGGAUAUGAUAAUAUGUAUUGGAGAAUGCUCGUCGUCCUGGUAAUUUCGGAGAUCUGGCAUCAGCACAAUCGUCUUGUCUUUCAAAUUUUGUAGUUAUCGGCUCCAACGCUCGCAUGUCUUGCGAUUGCAAAGCCAAUGUAAGGAGUCUGAUGCGCCUGCUCGCGUGCAUUCCUUCAGUGCCUCUCCUCUGGCAUCAACCUGAGUGACCACGACAAUCGCUGAAUGUGAGGUGAUCAUUGCUUUCAGUUCAUUUUUGUGUUUAUACUGAAGUGAUUUGGUGUCUGUUUUGCAGGAUAGUUUAACUUGCGAGAAAAUACUAUUGCAUUUAAAAAAAGCGAUUAUGCUUCAUCUUAUAAGCAAUAUUGCAUUUCAAUAAAUGUUUCUCACUAAGGAAGGUAAUUAUAAUAAGCAUAAGAAUCAGCAUGUGAUUGUUUUUAGGAUAACUGAAAUAUGCAAAAGAAAAUGCCAGAUGAUCCUGAUCUUACUAAGCACAGAGUUCUUGGCUUAAGUACUAGGUAGUAGGUGACUGGUUUUCAUGGCGUUACAGCCAAAUCUUGCUUUAUGUAAUGUAAGAAGAGGCUGAAAGUUUGUUCUAUUAAGCAGCAAUCUAAUGAUAUAUAUACAGCAAAGGUUGCCUGCAAGAAGCAUUGCCUUCUGUACGUUGAGCAUUUGUUUGUAUAUCUAAGCUCAAUAAAUUGCAUUUCACAAUGACAAUUCACAUAUGUUGUUAGUCGUUCAGCUUAGCAAUUCCAGAAGUUGUAGUUCCAGCCAAACAUCUAAAUACUGAGCUCAAAUUGCAGAAAAUACUGGGUGUUCAGUACUCGAUUUUGGACUAUAUGUUCACCUAUCUAUAGGGUGCCAUGAUCUUCAUCUAAAGGAUCUUUUUUGCUAACACAUACCUUGAUGUCGACAUCGACAGUAGCAGAGAUAAUAUACGCCUUAUAAUCUUGUAAACAUAUGUGUAGAUCAGUACAAGUACUUUCAGUGUUCCUCCUUGUGAAUUAGUCAUUCAAGCUGUGGAUGGUCAGGAGCCGCCUGAGCCCUGCAAAGAUAAUGUUCAAGCUACAACUUGAGUCAGAAUUUGUACGGAUACAUGAAAAUGUGAUGUAUGCCGAGAAAAUGUCUGUUUGCUAUACAAUUCAAUUUUUAGCUUGCAAUUGCAGUUAGAAGUUCAAACCGCAACUCAAGUAUGUUGUUAAUUUACAGUGAGCAUCCACUUGUAGAAGAUUUGUGCCUGGAUGUGCUAAUUGACAGUGAAAUGUAGAAAUAAGUUGCAACUUUGUAAUAUCCAUCUGAUAUGUGAAACAAGAAUUGUUACUAAUUCACAACAUGUA
Long non-coding RNA from Triticum urartu, 1912 nucleotides. RefSeq lists it as uncharacterized. The record is from RefSeq and is a predicted model, not a curated record. NCBI's taxonomy places the organism in Eukaryota, Viridiplantae, Streptophyta, Magnoliopsida, Poales, Poaceae.